AAAUUGAAGAGUUUGAUCAUGGCUCAGAUUGAACGCUGGCGGCAGGCCUAACACAUGCAAGUCGAACGGUAACAGGAAGCAGCUUGCUGCUUUGCUGACGAGUGGCGGACGGGUGAGUAAUGUCUGGGAAACUGCCUGAUGGAGGGGGAUAACUACUGGAAACGGUGGCUAAUACCGCAUAACGUCGCAAGACCAAAGAGGGGGACCUUCGGGCCUCUUGCCAUCAGAUGUGCCCAGAUGGGAUUAGCUUGUUGGUGAGGUAACGGCUCACCAAGGCGACGAUCCCUAGCUGGUCUGAGAGGAUGACCAGCCACACUGGAACUGAGACACGGCCCAGACUCCUACGGGAGGCAGCAGUGGGGAAUAUUGCACAAUGGGCGCAAGCCUGAUGCAGCCAUGCCGCGUGUAUGAAGAAGGCCUUCGGGUUGUAAAGUACUUUCAGCGGGGAGGAAGGUGUUGUGGUUAAUAACCGCAGCAAUUGACGUUACCCGCAGAAGAAGCACCGGCUAACUCCGUGCCAGCAGCCGCGGUAAUACGGAGGGUGCAAGCGUUAAUCGGAAUUACUGGGCGUAAAGCGCACGCAGGCGGUCUGUCAAGUCGGAUGUGAAAUCCCCGGGCUCAACCUGGGAACUGCAUUCGAAACUGGCAGGCUUGAGUCUUGUAGAGGGGGGUAGAAUUCCAGGUGUAGCGGUGAAAUGCGUAGAGAUCUGGAGGAAUACCGGUGGCGAAGGCGGCCCCCUGGACAAAGACUGACGCUCAGGUGCGAAAGCGUGGGGAGCAAACAGGAUUAGAUACCCUGGUAGUCCACGCCGUAAACGAUGUCUACUUGGAGGUUGUGCCCUUGAGGCGUGGCUUCCGGAGCUAACGCGUUAAGUAGACCGCCUGGGGAGUACGGCCGCAAGGUUAAAACUCAAAUGAAUUGACGGGGGCCCGCACAAGCGGUGGAGCAUGUGGUUUAAUUCGAUGCAACGCGAAGAACCUUACCUGGUCUUGACAUCCACAGAAGAAUCCAGAGAUGGAUUUGUGCCUUCGGGAACUGUGAGACAGGUGCUGCAUGGCUGUCGUCAGCUCGUGUUGUGAAAUGUUGGGUUAAGUCCCGCAACGAGCGCAACCCUUAUCCUUUGUUGCCAGCGGUUAGGCCGGGAACUCAAAGGAGACUGCCAGUGAUAAACUGGAGGAAGGUGGGGAUGACGUCAAGUCAUCAUGGCCCUUACGACCAGGGCUACACACGUGCUACAAUGGCGCAUACAAAGAGAAGCGACCUCGCGAGAGCAAGCGGACCUCAUAAAGUGCGUCGUAGUCCGGAUUGGAGUCUGCAACUCGACUCCAUGAAGUCGGAAUCGCUAGUAAUCGUGGAUCAGAAUGCCACGGUGAAUACGUUCCCGGGCCUUGUACACACCGCCCGUCACACCAUGGGAGUGGGUUGCAAAAGAAGUAGGUAGCUUAACCUUCGGGAGGGCGCUUACCACUUUGUGAUUCAUGACUGGGGUGAAGUCGUAACAAGGUAACCGUAGGGGAACCUGCGGUUGGAUCACCUCCUUACCUUAAAGAA
Molecule: ribosomal RNA, 1552 nt
Filed under: Salmonella enterica
Lineage: Bacteria; Pseudomonadati; Pseudomonadota; Gammaproteobacteria; Enterobacterales; Enterobacteriaceae
Also listed under: 1 other name
Description: 16S ribosomal RNA
Rfam family: Bacterial small subunit ribosomal RNA
Source: RNAcentral